CGCAUCUGUGCAUGCAGCAUAUCAAUAAGCGGAGGAAAAGAAACUAACAAGGAUUCCCUCAGUAACGGCGAGUGAAGCGGGAAGAGCUCAAAUUUGAAAUCUUGAAAGGUCACCUUUCACGAAUUGUAGUUUAAAGAAGUGUUUUCUGUUACGAUCGUAAUAUAAGUUCUUUGGAAUAGGACAUCACAGAGGGUGAGAAUCCCGUCUAUGAUUGCGAUUUGUAGCUUUGUGAUACACUUUCAAAGAGUCGGGUUGUUUGGGAAUGCAGCCCAAAACGGGAGGUAAAUUUCUUCUAAGGCUAAAUAUUGGCGAGAGACCGAUAGCGAACAAGUACCGUGAGGGAAAGAUGAAAAGAACUUUGAAAAGAGAGUUAAAUAGUACGUGAAAUUGUCAAAAGGGAAGCGUUUGACACCAGUGUUGUUUUCUGAAAAUCAACCUCUGUUAGCUUUAUGCAUGUUUGUUUAGACCUAAUCAGCUAUCUUGCAUGUUCUAUUGUUUGCAGUGGUGCACUUUUCAGUUUACAGGUCAACAUCAGUUUUUUUUACCGUAAAAAAGUUAAAGAAAGGUAGCUCAUGGCUCCGGUCGUGAGUGUUAUAGUCUUUUUCCUAUGCGGUAGGAGAGACUGAGGUCUGCAGUGUAGGCUAUUUGGCUAGAUACUCAGGUGCUAUGUGAUACCAUUUCAUAAACAACUUGUUGAUUAUGUUUUGUCUAUUGCAUACUCGCUUGUACUAUCAUACCUACGCUUAGGAUGUUGAAGUCAUCGUAUCGCGC
This 771-nucleotide ribosomal RNA is filed under the name uncultured Neocallimastigales. RNAcentral describes it as "partial large subunit ribosomal RNA". It matches the Rfam family "Eukaryotic large subunit ribosomal RNA", at positions 26 to 645 of the family's 3401-position model. The record is from RNAcentral. Lineage: Eukaryota; Fungi; Neocallimastigomycota; Neocallimastigomycetes; Neocallimastigales.